This is a long non-coding RNA of Brassica rapa (field mustard), 698 nucleotides long. RefSeq lists it as uncharacterized. Lineage: Eukaryota; Viridiplantae; Streptophyta; Magnoliopsida; Brassicales; Brassicaceae. The record is from RefSeq and is a predicted model, not a curated record.
AAAAAAAAUUAAACGAUGCCCAUGUACCUUGAAAGAGAGUUCAAUAUACAUUAAUACAAAUGUAGAAUGUGUUUAGAAAUUUUAAAACAACACUAAAAAUCAUAGACUUUAGUAUAUAAAGCAUUUACCAAAAAAUUUAAUAUUUUCGUAGGGGUUAAGCCAUAGAUUUUGAGAAAAAUUCAAAAAAAUUAAAAUUUUAUUUUAAUGCAUAGAUGCAUCCUUCACUAACAUAUGAUGAAGGUCAAAGAGGUUUGGAACCUAGGUUGUCUCUGUUUUUCUAGAGAAUAGCGAUUUUAUAGUGGUUAGUCAACUAAUUUAGGGAGUAUUAUGAAGUUUUACUAAAUUAAUUAACAAAAAUUUAAACGAUGCACAUGUAUAAUGAAGGAGAGUUUAAUAUACAUUAAUACAAAUGUAUAAUGCAUUUAGAAAAUUUAAAACAACAUUCAAGAUCAUAGGCUUCAGUAUAUUGAGCAUUUACCGAAUAAUUAACUAUUUUCGUAGAAGUUAAAACAUAGAUUUUGAGAAAAAUUCAAAAAACUGAAAAUUAUACUUUAAUGCAUAGUUGCAUCCUUCACUAACAUAUGAUGAAGGUGAAAGAGGUUUGGAACCUUUGCUGUCUCCGUUUUUCUAGAGAAUAGCGAUUUUAUAGAGGUUAGUCAACCAAUUUAGGGAGUAUUAUGAAGUUUUACUAAAUUAAU